Long non-coding RNA from Ornithorhynchus anatinus (platypus), 348 nucleotides. RefSeq lists it as uncharacterized. NCBI's taxonomy places the organism in Eukaryota, Metazoa, Chordata, Mammalia, Monotremata, Ornithorhynchidae. The record is from RefSeq and is a predicted model, not a curated record. The transcript has 3 exons.
CUAGGAUGUGACUGGGGCCCUUGUCCAGAGGACUGGAUUCAGUUAAGAAAAAGCUGUUACCUCUUCUCCAAAGAUAAAAAGAACUGGCAUGACAGCAAGAAGACUUGUGCAGCUCUGAAGUCCAGUUUGCUGUGGAUAGACAGCGAGGAAGAGGAGUUCCUGGAAGUGGGAGAGUGGCACAGCUUUCUCCAGUCAUAGGCUCACUUUCGUCAAGAUACAAACAGGUGGUAACUGCAUCUAUCAAAGUGGAAAAUAUGUCUUUGAAAGUAACUGUGAGGGUCUCAGGUUGUUCAUUUGCAAACAGAGGACUCACUAGUCUGUCUAUGAAAAACCCCAAUUUUGGAAUUU